UGGGGGGUGACACGAGGACGGGGGGGCCGUGGGGAGGUUGGGGGGAGGCCGGGGAGGGGAGGCUGGGCCACGGCGGUCUCCAGGCAGUGCGGGAGCCCCGCUCGCAGCCGGGAUGGCAGCGCCGUGUUUGCCAAGAGUUAAGGAGGCGGAAGAGGCAGGAAGCGGCCCGAGCCGCUCUCCAUAGAAACCCGCGGCCGUGAUUAAAGUCUGAUGCGGGCCCGAUAGCGGGCUGGGGUAGGGGGGGGGGGGGACAGCGCCCGCUUUAAUUACAGCGGAGGAAAUUGCUGGAGCCGGGGCCCCGAGCCCCUGCGAGUUGCUUGGAAACUCCCCCCCCCCCCCUCCCCCCCCCCCCCCCCCCCCCCCCGGCCCCUGCCCGUCCCCUGCCCGUCCCGCUGCCAUUUAUUCGCCAUCAGCUGCUCCCUGAUAAAGUGGAAUAAUAAUAAUAAUAAUAGGGGCAGGAAUAUUAAAACAUGCAGCCCGCGGGCCGCCCCCACAGCUGCCAUGAGACGCGGCGCCGGAGCGGUGCCACUGCUGCUCAACAUGUACCUGCCAGAUCCAGUCGGGGAAACUUUGUUCAAAGACGGCAAGAGCCAGGCGUGGGGGUCCCUCAACCCAGGCGUGCAGAAAGGUAAGAGCCUCCCUGCCCCAUCCCCACAGCAGCAGGGACCCCUUGGGCACACGGAGCCCCCCGCACCCCGUAGCCAAGCCACCUUCCUCUCCGUGUGCCCCAUCCGUCAGGGCUUUCAAAGCUCAGGCCGGGAUGAUUGGCAUCCAAAACCAGAUGGGGAAGGAGCCGAGCCCCCUGACAGCCAUCCUGGUGCAUCAGCGGUGCUGCCAAAGCCCCAUGGGGCAGAGCACGGUGACCCCGGGUCCCCUCCCGGUGCUCCGGGAAUAUCUGAUGGAGAGGGGGCUGCCGGCCAGCCCUGGAGCUGAGGGGGCUCCUCCGGGCUUGGGAGAGCUGGUUCAGGGAGCAGGAGAACGGGGGUGCAACUGGGGAGGGGCUGCUGGGGCACGGGGUGGCUGGGAAGUGAUGGAUCCCCCGGGAGCUGGAGCCUUCCCCUGGGAAAAGCCAUCCCGGGACACGAGGAGCAGCCCGGAGCCUCCUGGGGGGCAUGGGGUUAUGUGGGGCCAGCACCCGUUCAGCUGCCUGGAGAGGGGAUAGGGCUCGGGGCUUGCUCUGAGCUGGAGAAGGGGAGCCCUGGGUUUGGGGUGGGAGCAGGGAGAGGCUGGGGCUGGGGGGGAGCCCUUUUACCUCCGCAUUGCGGACUCUGCCCAGCCAUGCUGUGAGAGCAGAGCCUUUUAGGAUCGCUGCAGGAUCCCCCGGGGAGCCGCAGAGGCAGGACUGAACCUUGCCACCCCACCCCACCCCAUCCCACCCUACCCAGCCGCACCCCCAGCACGGGGUGGGCGCACUGGAGAGGGGAGAAACACCGAGAGGUGCAGGGGGCGAAGGUGUGGGGUGGUUCCUGGUGAAGGCACAGCCUCAGGGAGUCCUGCAGCGGGGUGGCUGGGGGUGCGGUGACCCCAGAGGGGACAUUGGUGCCCGAUUCAGCCCCACAGAGGGUCCCGUCUCACCUGCACCUGCUGGGCAGCCGGGGCUUGGCUCGGGGCAGCAUUGCUCCCCGGUGUCAGCUCCCCCGGGGGGAUCCGUGCCCUUGGAGAUGCCCUAUGGCACCAGCCCAUCUGUGGGGACACGGGAUCAGGCCUCGCUGCGGCUUCUUUCGGCCUCCAGAGCCCCCGUGGGGUCCUCUCCUCCUGCCUCGAGGUGCAGGAUGCCGCAGGGAUGCUGCGGAGGAGACACAAGGAUGCCAACACCCGCGCCCCGAGCGCAGGAAAAACGCACCCGGGGGUGGGAAGGGGGCGACGUGGCAGGGGGCAAAGGGGCACGUCCCAUUCCCGUGCCCUGACGGGGAGCUUUGACCUCUCCGGGGCA
This 1933-nucleotide long non-coding RNA is filed under the name Anas platyrhynchos platyrhynchos (common mallard). RNAcentral describes it as "lncRNA (ENSAPLG00000028844.1)". Lineage: Eukaryota; Metazoa; Chordata; Aves; Anseriformes; Anatidae. The record is from RNAcentral.